CGUAGCGUAAAUAAAUAGACUUAAUAAUAAAGCUAACAAAUGCAUUUGUAAUUGAUUAGAAUAACUUUACCAUUAUUGGUAUAGAUUAUAAGACCUUAGGUAUUCUUAAUAUUGCGCGAUAUAAAAACAUUUGCCCUAAUUUUUCAGGUCAUUUGGACGAAGAAGAAGGUCAUUACCAAUGGAUAGAGGGUCUGGCGAUCUUAAUAUCUGUUAUAGUUAUCGUCAUAGUCACAGCAUUCAACGAUUACACGAAAGAAAGACAAUUCAGAGGGCUUCAAUCGAGGAUAGAGGGCGAGCACAAGUUCGCAGUCAUCCGUGGCGGUGAGGUGAAGCAGGUGCCUAUCAGCGAGAUCGUGGUGGGCGACAUUUGUCAGAUCAAGUAUGGAGAUCUGUUGCCUGCUGACGGUGUGCUGCUGCAGAGUAACGACCUCAAGGUCGAUGAGUCCUCACUUACGGGAGAGUCGGACCAUGUCAUGAAAGG
Long non-coding RNA from Papilio machaon (common yellow swallowtail), 481 nucleotides. RefSeq lists it as uncharacterized. The transcript is spliced from 3 exons. The record is from RefSeq and is a predicted model, not a curated record. Lineage: Eukaryota; Metazoa; Arthropoda; Insecta; Lepidoptera; Papilionidae.